CCUAAUACAUGCCAGUCGAGCGGACAGAAGGGAGCUUGCUCCCGGAUGUUAGCGGCGGACGGGUGAGUAACACGUGGGUAACCUGCCUGUAAGACUGGGAUAACUCCGGGAAACCGGAGCUAAUACCGGAUAGUUCCUUGAACCGCAUGGUUCAAGGAUGAAAGACGGUUUCGGCUGUCACUUACAGAUGGACCCGCGGCGCAUUAGCUAGUUGGUGAGGUAACGGCUCACCAAGGCGACGAUGCGUAGCCGACCUGAGAGGGUGAUCGGCCACACUGGGACUGAGACACGGCCCAGACUCCUACGGGAGGCAGCAGUAGGGAAUCUUCCGCAAUGGACGAAAGUCUGACGGAGCAACGCCGCGUGAGUGAUGAAGGUUUUCGGAUCGUAAAGCUCUGUUGUUAGGGAAGAACAAGUGCAAGAGUAACUGCUUGCACCUUGACGGUACCUAACCAGAAAGCCACGGCUAACUACGUGCCAGCAGCCGCGGUAAUACGUAGGUGGCAAGCGUUGUCCGGAAUUAUUGGGCGUAAAGGGCUCGCAGGCGGUUUCUUAAGUCUGAUGUGAAAGCCCCCGGCUCAACCGGGGAGGGUCAUUGGAAACUGGGAAACUUGAGUGCAGAAGAGGAGAGUGGAAUUCCACGUGUAGCGGUGAAAUGCGUAGAGAUGUGGAGGAACACCAGUGGCGAAGGCGACUCUCUGGUCUGUAACUGACGCUGAGGAGCGAAAGCGUGGGGAGCGAACAGGAUUAGAUACCUUGGGUAAGUCCA
RNAcentral lists this ribosomal RNA (769 nucleotides) under Bacillus pumilus. Its description in RNAcentral is "bacterial SSU rRNA". It matches the Rfam family "Bacterial small subunit ribosomal RNA", at positions 47 to 797 of the family's 1533-position model. Lineage: Bacteria; Bacillati; Bacillota; Bacilli; Caryophanales; Bacillaceae. The record is from RNAcentral.